Molecule: ribosomal RNA, 404 nt
Filed under: Verrucomicrobiota bacterium
Lineage: Bacteria; Pseudomonadati; Verrucomicrobiota
Description: Verrucomicrobia bacterium partial 16S ribosomal RNA
Rfam family: Bacterial small subunit ribosomal RNA
Source: RNAcentral
UGGGGAAUAUUGCACAAUGGGGGAAACCCUGAUGCAGCGACGCCGCGUGAGCGAUGAAGGCUUUCGAGUCGAAAACCUCUGUCCUAUGGGAAGAUAAUGACGGUACAAUAGAAGAAAGCCCCGGCUAAUAACGGGCCAGCAGCCGCGGUAAUACGUAAGGGGCGAGCGUUGUCCGGAAUUAUUGGGCGUAAAGAGUGCGUAGGCGGCAAAUUAAGUCAGAUGUGAAAACUAAGGGCUCAACCCAUAGAUUGCAUCUGAAACUGAUAUGCUUGAGUCAAGGAGAGGAAAGUGGAAUUCCUAGUGUAGCGGUGGAAUGCGUAGAUAUUAGGAGGAAUACCGGUGGCGAAGGCGACUUUCUGGACUUGAACUGACGCUGAGGCACGAAAGCGUGGGGAGCAAACAGG